CGAGUAUCGAUGAAGAACGCAGCUAGCUGCGAUAAAUAGUGCGAAUUGCAGACACAUUGAGCACUAAAAAUUCGAACGUACAUUGCGCCAUCGGGUUCAUUCCCGUUGGCACGUCUGGCUGAGGGUUGAAAUAUCGUAAGAGUUGCCAUUUAUGAAUUUUCAACAUGGCAUAUCCGAUAAGCUAUGAUGGUAGACGAAUAAAAGAAGUACUAUCAUACCUUCUUCAGCAUAUAUGAUGCAAUAACUCGUUCUCAUUUCCUUCAAUGAGAUGAGAGAGAGAGAGAAAGAGAAAGAAUAUAUGCAUCAAGAAAUUAUCGUGUCGCUCUUAAAAGUCGAUUCCAGCGUAUAUUGUUAUGGAUCUAGCAAUAUGCCAUAGUUGGAAAGAAAGAUAGGCGAUAAUGAUGCAUAUAAAGGAUUUUUUGACCUCAGCUCAGUCGUGAAUACCCGCUGAACUUAAGCAUAU
Molecule: unclassified non-coding RNA, 463 nt
Filed under: Baylisascaris columnaris
Lineage: Eukaryota; Metazoa; Nematoda; Chromadorea; Rhabditida; Ascarididae
Description: sequence contains 5.8S rRNA gene, ITS2, 28S rRNA gene
Rfam family: 5.8S ribosomal RNA (bases 1-128)
Source: RNAcentral